RNAcentral lists this long non-coding RNA (980 nucleotides) under Capsella rubella. RNAcentral's name for it is "long non-coding RNA (CRUB_LNC000118)". Lineage: Eukaryota; Viridiplantae; Streptophyta; Magnoliopsida; Brassicales; Brassicaceae. The record is from RNAcentral.
AUGGAGAAAGACUUGUUGAAAUUGGGUCCCAAAUGGGCUAAGAACUCGAAAACAUUGCGUUGAACAACUAAAUUAGUUAUCUAGUGUUAUUUGGGGUUAGAAUAUGCUAGAAUACAAUAACUUUGAUUGAUUACAUGUGCUAGAGAUGCAUGAAGAGUGUUUAGAAGUGUGUAGAAAAACUUGUAGAAAUUGGGUCACAAAUGGGCUAAGAACUCGGAAACAUUGCGUUGAACCACUAAAUGACUUAUCUAGUGUUGUAUGCGGUUAGAAUAUGUUAUAAAACUAUAAAUUUGAUUGAUUACAAGUGCUAGAGAUGCAUGAAUAGUGUUUUCAAGUAUGGAGAAAGACUUGUUCAAAUUGGGUCCCAAAUUGGCUAAGAACUCGGAAACAUUGCGUUGAACAAGUAAAUGAAUUAUCUAGUGUUGUUUGGGGUUAGAAUAUGUUAGAAUGCAAUUAAUUUGAUUGAUUACAAGUGCUAGAGAUGCGUGAAGAGUGUUUUUAAGUAUGGAGAAAGAGGUGUUGAAAUUGGGUCCCAAAUGGGCUAAGAACUCGGAAACAUUGCGUUGAACAAGUAAAUGAAUUAUCUAGUGUUGUUUGGGGUUAGAAUAUGUUAGAAUACAAUGAAUUUGAUUGAUUACAAGUGCUAGAGAUGCGUGAAGAGUGUUUUGAAGUAUAGAGAAAGACUUGUUAAAAUUGGGUCCCAAAUGGGCUAAGAACUUGGAAACAUUGCGUUGAACAAGUAAAUGAAUUAUCUAGUGUUGUUUGCGGUUAGAAUAUGUUAGAAUACAAUGAAUUUGAUUGAUUACAAGUGCUAGAGAUGCGUGAAGAGUGUUCUGAAGUAUAGAGAAAGACUUGUUAAAAUUGGGUCCCAAAUGGGCUAAGAACUCGAAAAAAUUGCGUUGAACCACUAAAUGACAUAUCUAGUGUUGUUUGGGGUUAGAAUAUGUUAGAAUACAAUGAAUUUGAUUGAUUACAAGUGC